Molecule: transfer RNA, 76 nt
Filed under: Desulfovibrio sp.
Lineage: Bacteria; Pseudomonadati; Thermodesulfobacteriota; Desulfovibrionia; Desulfovibrionales; Desulfovibrionaceae
Description: tRNA-Val
Rfam family: tRNA
About the family: Transfer RNA (tRNA) molecules are approximately 80 nucleotides in length. Their secondary structure includes four short double-helical elements and three loops (D, anti-codon, and T loops).
Source: RNAcentral
GGGCAGUUAGCUCAGUUGGUAGAGCACCGUCUUCACACGGCGGGGGUCACAGGUUCGAGUCCCGUACUGCCCACCA